GAUGAACGCUGGCGGCGUGCCUAAUACAUGCCAGUCGAGCGAACAGACGAGGAGCUUGCUCCUCUGACGUUAGCGGCGGACGGGUGAGUAACACGUGGAUAACCUACCUAUAAGACUGGGAUAACUUCGGGAAACCGGAGCUAAUACCGGAUAAUAUAUUGAACCGCAUGGUUCAAUAGUGAAAGACGGUCUUGCUGUCACUUAUAGAUGGAUCCGCGCCGCAUUAGCUAGUUGGUAAGGUAACGGCUUACCAAGGCAACGAUGCGUAGCCGACCUGAGAGGGUGAUCGGCCACACUGGAACUGAGACACGGUCCAGACUCCUAAGGGAGGCAGCAGUAGGGAAUCUUCCGCAAUGGGCGAAAGCGUGACGGAGCAACGACGCGUGAGUGAAGAAGGUCUUCGGAUCGUAAAACUCUGUUAUUAGGGAAGAACAAAUGUGUAAGUAACUAUGCACGUCUUGACGGUACCUAAUCAGAAAGCCACGGCUAACUACGUG
This 497-nucleotide ribosomal RNA is filed under the name uncultured bacterium. Its description in RNAcentral is "partial 16S ribosomal RNA". It matches the Rfam family "Bacterial small subunit ribosomal RNA", at positions 28 to 507 of the family's 1533-position model. The record is from RNAcentral.